AACAAAUCAGCAACUUAAACAGAAACUUAAACAAAAUACAAUAAUUCGAAAGAAAACUGAUAGGAGCAUAUUUAUGCGCCUUAGUUAGCUAGUUCUUAUGCAUUUCCAUGGUGUUUUCUUAGUUAAAGUAGUCUUUUAAGCUAGUUUUAUGUGUUUUCAGGUUUUAAGGCCAAAGGAUGCAAGAAGAUGCAUUUUGGAGUUUUUUGGAGCAAAAUUGGGCUUGGAAUGAUUAUCACAUAAUUGGAGCCAAGGUUUGGACGA
Molecule: long non-coding RNA, 261 nt
Filed under: Malus domestica (apple)
Lineage: Eukaryota; Viridiplantae; Streptophyta; Magnoliopsida; Rosales; Rosaceae
Description: long non-coding RNA (MDOM_LNC013338)
Source: RNAcentral